AGAGUUUGAUCCUGGCUCAGAUUGAACGCUGGCGGCAGGCUUAACACAUGCAAGUCGAGCGGAGAGAGGUAGCUUGCUACUGAUCUUAGCGGCGGACGGGUGAGUAAUGCUUAGGAAUCUGCCUAUUAGUGGGGGACAACAUUUCGAAAGGAAUGCUAAUACCGCAUACGUCCUACGGGAGAAAGCAGGGGAUCUUCGGACCUUGCGCUAAUAGAUGAGCCUAAGUCGGAUUAGCUAGUUGGUGGGGUAAAGGCCUACCAAGGCGACGAUCUGUAGCGGGUCUGAGAGGAUGAUCCGCCACACUGGGACUGAGACACGGCCCAGACUCCUACGGGAGGCAGCAGUGGGGAAUAUUGGACAAUGGGCGCAAGCCUGAUCCAGCCAUGCCGCGUGUGUGAAGAAGGCCUUAUGGUUGUAAAGCACUUUAAGCGAGGAGGAGGCUACUUUAGUUAAUACCUAGAGAUAGUGGACGUUACUCGCAGAAUAAGCACCGGCUAACUCUGUGCCAGCAGCCGCGGUAAUACAGAGGGUGCAAGCGUUAAUCGGAUUUACUGGGCGUAAAGCGCGCGUAGGCGGCUAAUUAAGUCAAAUGUGAAAUCCCCGAGCUUAACUUGGGAAUUGCAUUCGAUACUGGUUAGCUAGAGUGUGGGAGAGGAUGGUAGAAUUCCAGGUGUAGCGGUGAAAUGCGUAGAGAUCUGGAGGAAUACCGAUGGCGAAGGCAGCCAUCUGGCCUAACACUGACGCUGAGGUGCGAAAGCAUGGGGAGCAAACAGGAUUAGAUACCCUGGUAGUCCAUGCCGUAAACGAUGUCUACUAGCCGUUGGGGCCUUUGAGGCUUUAGUGGCGCAGCUAACGCGAUAAGUAGACCGCCUGGGGAGUACGGUCGCAAGACUAAAACUCAAAUGAAUUGACGGGGGCCCGCACAAGCGGUGGAGCAUGUGGUUUAAUUCGAUGCAACGCGAAGAACCUUACCUGGCCUUGACAUAGUAAGAACUUUCCAGAGAUGGAUUGGUGCCUUCGGGAACUUACAUACAGGUGCUGCAUGGCUGUCGUCAGCUCGUGUCGUGAGAUGUUGGGUUAAGUCCCGCAACGAGCGCAACCCUUUUCCUUAUUUGCCAGCGAGUAAUGUCGGGAACUUUAAGGAUACUGCCAGUGACAAACUGGAGGAAGGCGGGGACGACGUCAAGUCAUCAUGGCCCUUACGGCCAGGGCUACACACGUGCUACAAUGGUCGGUACAAAGGGUUGCUACCUAGCGAUAGGAUGCUAAUCUCAAAAAGCCGAUCGUAGUCCGGAUUGGAGUCUGCAACUCGACUCCAUGAAGUCGGAAUCGCUAGUAACCGCGGAUCAGAAUGCCGCGGUGAAUACGUUCCCGGGCCUUGUACACACCGCCCGUCACACCAUGGGAGUUUGUUGCACCAGAAGUAGCUAGCCUAACUGCAAAGAGGGCGGUUACCACGGUGUGGCCGAUGACUGGGGUGAAGUCGUAACAAGGUAACCGUA
RNAcentral lists this ribosomal RNA (1502 nucleotides) under uncultured Acinetobacter sp. RNAcentral describes it as "bacterial SSU rRNA". It matches the Rfam family "Bacterial small subunit ribosomal RNA". Lineage: Bacteria; Pseudomonadati; Pseudomonadota; Gammaproteobacteria; Moraxellales; Moraxellaceae. The record is from RNAcentral.